UGUAACCUGUUCGACUUAAUCGGUACAAAUAUAAUCUCCUCUUGGUGAUCAGCGCCCACUGACAUGCUGCAACAUCUCUGGCAGGUUCCUCGGCACCCACUCAGGCCCUACCUUGUUCCACAGGGAGCAAGCCAGACUCACCCACAGUGAAGUUUCAUAUGUAACUGGUCUGCAGUUCUCAGGGUGACAUCACCCUGCUGGUUUUGAACAAGUAGGAAAGCGUUUCAGCAGAAUCAUAAGCAGCAGGAGGUGAAAACCACACUCACACUGAUCCCAAGAAGUGCUGCUCAAAUGCACAAUUGCAAAAGGUAAGGCGCAGUCAUAGCUUCCUUCACAUUUAGAAAUGGAGUCACUUUUUAAAAUGUAUAUAAUUUUAUCUAUUUAUUUAUUUAGGGCUGUGCUGGGUCUUUGCUGCUGUGCAGGCUUUCUUUAGCCGCAGAGCGGGAAUACUCUUUUUGUGGUACGUGGAAUUCUUAUUGUGGUGGCUUCUCUUGUUGCAGAGCACAGGCUCUAGGGCACUCAGGCUUCAGUAGUUGUGGUGCAUGAACUUAGUCACUCCUCAGCAUGUGCGAUCUUCCCAGACCAGGGAUCAAACCCAUGUCUCCUGCAUUGUCAGGUGGAUUUUAGCACUGAGCCACCAGGGAAGCCCAGAAAUGGAGUCACUUUAAAAAAAAAUAAGAUCACGUCAACCUGAGUGUAAAGCAGACCAGCUAUUAGGAGAGAGUUAACACAAUGCCAAAGUAAGAGACAUUGUUUUUGUGAGCACAGAGUGGAAUGUGCAGAUUAUCAACCUGGCAGGAGUCUUUUUCUGACAGACCUGAUAUAUAGACAGUUAUCACGGUUGAUGAUAAAGAAUGUGUCCAUCUUUAAGAUUUUCUUUCAGUCUUUGCUUUCCUGUAGCUUAUCAGUUAGUUAUUGAUGCAGGAAAAAACCACACUGCACAACUUAAUGGCUUUAAACAAUAACCAUGGAUUCUUUCUCACACAUCUAUGGGUCAGCUAGGCAGUUAUGCUGAUCUCAGCGGGGCUUGCAUAUGUGUCCGUGGUCAGUUGGUGGACCGAGAAGGGGAGAGCCCAGGAGGGAAAGCGUUCCACUGGGCAGAGCAGGUCAUGCAAACCCUCUCAAGGCUAGAUCCCUUUAACAUUCCCUUUGGCCAAAAUUUAUUAGUUGUCUUAUUAAUAAAGAUGAUGUAUGCUAGACACGUGGGGCUUCCCAGGUGGUACUAGUGGUAAAGAACACGCCUGCCAAUGCAGGAGACAUAAGAGAUGCUGGUUCAAUCCCUGGGUCAG
Molecule: long non-coding RNA, 1289 nt
Filed under: Capra hircus (goat)
Lineage: Eukaryota; Metazoa; Chordata; Mammalia; Artiodactyla; Bovidae
Description: lncRNA (ENSCHIG00010018238.1)
Source: RNAcentral